Molecule: ribosomal RNA, 492 nt
Filed under: uncultured bacterium
Lineage: Bacteria
Description: partial 16S ribosomal RNA
Rfam family: Bacterial small subunit ribosomal RNA
Source: RNAcentral
AGUGAACGCUGGCGGUAGGCCUAACACAUGCAAGUCGAACGGCAGCACAGUAAGAGCUUGCUCUUACGGGUGGCGAGUGGCGGACGGGUGAGGAAUACAUCGGAAUCUACUUUUUCGUGGGGGAUAACGUAGGGAAACUUACGCUAAUACCGCAUACGACCUACGGGUGAAAGCAGGGGAUCUUCGGACCUUACGCGAUUGAAUGAGCCGAUGUCGGAUUAGCUAGUUGGCGGGGUAAAGGCCCACCAAGGCGACGAUCCGUAGCUGGUCUGAGAGGAUGAUCAGCCACACUGGAACUGAGACACGGUCCAGACUCCUACGGGAGGCGGCAGUGGGGAAUAUUGGACAAUGGGCGCAAGCCUGAUCCAGCCAUACCGCGUGGGUGAAGAAGGCCUUCGGGUUGUAAAGCCCUUUUGUUGGGAAAGAAAAGCAGCAGGUUAAUACCCCGCUGUUCUGACGGUACCCAAAGAAUAAGCACCGGCUAACUUCGUG